UGUCUUCAUUUAAUUUAGAUAGGGAUCUAAUACCAAGACCACCUUCAUCAAAAGGUGUUAUUGGUUAUUAUAAACAAUGUGUUGGAACAUGUGUGGAAAUUGAGUUAAAAAGACUAAACACAAAUUCCCAUGUUGGGUAGAACUAGUGUUGUGUGAAUUGAAAAAAGUGAAAGUCCCUCAUCGGAUGGAACACACACAUUAGUAGUGUUUAUAUAGUGGGGGUGUAUCUUUAAGAGG
RNAcentral lists this long non-coding RNA (237 nucleotides) under Medicago truncatula (barrel medic). RNAcentral's name for it is "long non-coding RNA (MTRU_LNC002962)". The record is from RNAcentral. Lineage: Eukaryota; Viridiplantae; Streptophyta; Magnoliopsida; Fabales; Fabaceae.